GGGAGCUCUCCCAUAUGGUCGACCUGCAGGCGGCCGCGAAUUCACUAGUGAUUCGUAUUACCGCGGCUGCUGGCACGGAGUUAGCCGGAGCUUAUUCUCCCGAUACUGUCAUUAUCAUCUCGGGUAAAAGAGCUUUACAACCCUAAGGCCUUCAUCACUCACGCGGCAUUGCUGGAUCAGGCUUUCGCCCAUUGUCCAAUAUUCCCUACUGCUGCCUCCCGUAGGAGUCUGGGCCGUGUCUCAGUCCCAGUGUGGCUGAUCAUCCUCUCAGACCAGCUAAGGAUCGUCGCCUUGGUGCGCCUUUACCACACCAACUAGCUAAUCCUACGCGGGCUCAUCCCUCGGCGAUAAAUCUUUGGACUUACGUCGUCAUCCGGUAUUAGCAGUCAUUUCUAACUGUUAUUCCGAACCAAGGGGCAGAUUCCCACGCGUUACGCACCCGUGCGCCACUAAGGCCGAAGCCUUCGUUCGACUUGCAUGUGUUAGGCAUGCCGCCAGCGUUCGUUCUGAGCCAGGAUCAAACUCUAAUCGAAUUCCCGCGGCCGCCAUGGCGGCCGGGAGCAUG
Molecule: ribosomal RNA, 565 nt
Filed under: uncultured Alphaproteobacteria bacterium
Lineage: Bacteria; Pseudomonadati; Pseudomonadota; Alphaproteobacteria
Description: partial 16S ribosomal RNA
Source: RNAcentral